This 1283-nucleotide ribosomal RNA is filed under the name Enterococcus faecium. RNAcentral's name for it is "bacterial SSU rRNA". It matches the Rfam family "Bacterial small subunit ribosomal RNA", at positions 8 to 1263 of the family's 1533-position model. Lineage: Bacteria; Bacillati; Bacillota; Bacilli; Lactobacillales; Enterococcaceae. The record is from RNAcentral.
AGAGUUUGAUCCUGGCUCAGGACGAACGCUGGCGGCGUGCCUAAUACAUGCAAGUCGAACGCUUCUUUUUCCACCGGAGCUUGCUCCACCGGAAAAAGAAGAGUGGCGAACGGGUGAGUAACACGUGGGUAACCUGCCCAUCAGAAGGGGAUAACACUUGGAAACAGGUGCUAAUACCGUAUAACAAUCGAAACCGCAUGGUUUUGAUUUGAAAGGCGCUUUCGGGUGUCGCUGAUGGAUGGACCCGCGGUGCAUUAGCUAGUUGGUGAGGUAACGGCUCACCAAGGCCACGAUGCAUAGCCGACCUGAGAGGGUGAUCGGCCACAUUGGGACUGAGACACGGCCCAAACUCCUACGGGAGGCAGCAGUAGGGAAUCUUCGGCAAUGGACGAAAGUCUGACCGAGCAACGCCGCGUGAGUGAAGAAGGUUUUCGGAUCGUAAAACUCUGUUGUUAGAGAAGAACAAGGAUGAGAGUAACUGUUCAUCCCUUGACGGUAUCUAACCAGAAAGCCACGGCUAACUACGUGCCAGCAGCCGCGGUAAUACGUAGGUGGCAAGCGUUGUCCGGAUUUAUUGGGCGUAAAGCGAGCGCAGGCGGUUUCUUAAGUCUGAUGUGAAAGCCCCCGGCUCAACCGGGGAGGGUCAUUGGAAACUGGGAGACUUGAGUGCAGAAGAGGAGAGUGGAAUUCCAUGUGUAGCGGUGAAAUGCGUAGAUAUAUGGAGGAACACCAGUGGCGAAGGCGGCUCUCUGGUCUGUAACUGACGCUGAGGCUCGAAAGCGUGGGGAGCAAACAGGAUUAGAUACCCUGGUAGUCCACGCCGUAAACGAUGAGUGCUAAGUGUUGGAGGGUUUCCGCCCUUCAGUGCUGCAGCUAACGCAUUAAGCACUCCGCCUGGGGAGUACGACCGCAAGGUUGAAACUCAAAGGAAUUGACGGGGGCCCGCACAAGCGGUGGAGCAUGUGGUUUAAUUCGAAGCAACGCGAAGAACCUUACCAGGUCUUGACAUCCUUUGACCACUCUAGAGAUAGAGCUUCCCCUUCGGGGGCAAAGUGACAGGUGGUGCAUGGUUGUCGUCAGCUCGUGUCGUGAGAUGUUGGGUUAAGUCCCGCAACGAGCGCAACCCUUAUUGUUAGUUGCCAUCAUUCAGUUGGGCACUCUAGCAAGACUGCCGGUGACAAACCGGAGGAAGGUGGGGAUGACGUCAAAUCAUCAUGCCCCUUAUGACCUGGGCUACACACGUGCUACAAUGGGAAGUACAACGAGUCGCGAAGUCGCGAGGC